RNA transcript from Cornus florida, 2445 nucleotides. It is a transcript of the gene named protein PLASTID TRANSCRIPTIONALLY ACTIVE 12, chloroplastic, with no coding region annotated. The record is from RefSeq and is a predicted model, not a curated record. The transcript has 12 exons. Lineage: Eukaryota; Viridiplantae; Streptophyta; Magnoliopsida; Cornales; Cornaceae.
UGGUUCAAUUUUAGACCCGCACGAUGAUUCCUUUAUCUUCAUCGUCCCACCCUAAAACCCUGAAAAUUUUCAUUCAAAAUUCAACCUUUUUGAUGUUCUGAUUUCUUAGCCACACACACAAUUAUAGAUUUUAUGCAAAAAAAAAAAAAAAAUUAUAGUGGGUCAUCAUCAGUACUGACAGAAAUGACAGCAAUAUCACCAACUUGGUUGUAUCAAGAUAGAGGAUUGAGAAGUAUGGUUCCUUUAGGUGGUUUUGUUGCUGAGAAGUCCAGCUUCCAACACUUGCAGACAACAUUUGCAGGUUCUUUUUCAGCAUCAAAAUGGUGGCGGGUUAGGAUUGGUUUUAGCAGUCGACUUAAAAGGGCUCCUUUAUGUCCUUCUAUAAAAUGCAAGAACGGAGAGGAGGGCUCCUUUGAGCAGGUGUCCGUUGAGCGUGCACCGUAUUACAGUUAUAUGGACUCCACAUCUGGGCAGCUUGAACCAGCUUCUGGUGCUCGUGCAAGUAUUCCGGGGCAAGAGUACUGGCCAGAAGGCACAGCCAGUCAAGUUAGGGCUGCCAGGGCUCCUGAACCAACUGGUGUUUCAGCAGGAUCUCCGUCUUUUGGCAGAAGUCCUGGAAGUAGGAGAAAAAAAAAUAAGGCAUCUGUUGCUCCUCCUGGCUCUUCAGAGAUGACUGUAGUUUUUGAUGAUCAGGUGGAAGUUGAAACUUCAGAUGAUGAAAUGAAAGAGGUUAAAGAUCUCUCUUCAGAAUUCAUCGUUUAUCAGACAGAAUCUCAGAAAGUGGAGCUAACUGAGUAUGAAUUGGACAAGAAACUUGGUCGCCCUCACCCAUUUAUUGACCCAAAGACAAAGAAGCCAAUAGAGCAGGCACUUACAAGUGAAGAACUAUGGUGGAACUGGAGAAAGCCAGACAAGGAACAGUGGUCCAGAUGGCAAAGGAGGCGUCCUGAUGUUGAGACGGUGUUUCUUAAAGCCAUGGCAGAAACUGGGCAAAUAAAGCUAUAUGGUGAACAUCCAACAUUGACUGAGACUUCUCUUUAUAGAGCAAGACGGCAUAUUUACAAAGAGGAAAGGCUGCAGGUUGAACAAGAAAGACUGGAAAGAAUAGGUCCAAUAGCAUACUACUCUGAAUGGGUUAAAGCAUGGAAGAGGGACACUUCGCGUGAAGCUGUUCAGAAACAUUUUGAACAGACUGGUGAAGAUGAAAACAUGCAACUCAUUGAAAUGUUCUCACAUCAAACUGAUCGAGAGUAUCGCAUAAUGAUGGGGACUGAUAUGCGCAUUCCCAGGGAUCCUUUGGCAAUGCGAAUGCGGGAGGAUCAAAUAAAGCAAAUAUGGGGUGGUGAUCCAGUUUACCCAACAGUGAACUAUAUUCAAGAUCCAGAUGAGGUGAUUGAUUUCAGGGGUCCAGAUUUUCAUGAACCAACACCCAAUAUGCUGGCUUAUCUGAAAGAGCAUGGCAAAAUAAUAUCGAGAGACGAGCUUGAGAAAAUCCUGGCCAAAGAGAAGACUGUGGAACUUGAGAUACCAGAUAUGGAUGAAGCUAUGGCAAAAGCUGUUGACAUUGGUGAAAAUGAUGAUGGAGAGGAUAGUGAAGCUGAGGGUGAGGAUGAAGAGGAGGAGAAAAUUACACGCAAUUGGAGUGUUCUAAAAAGUACUCCUGAGCUACGCAAGUCAAAGGGUAAACCAAAGAAGGAAGACAUGUCUAUUGGAGAAGCUAUAGUUGAUUCUGAGAACUUAACUGAUUUUCUUAUGGACUUUGACGAGGAGUGAUAUUUCUCAGUUUUUCAAUUUUUGAGAUGGAGCCAUGGAGGAUCAUUGGGCGUAACUCGUACACCCCUGCCAUUUCUAAAGCUUAUUGGAUAACAGCAGUUCAUGCUCAAGCCCAACAAGUUAAACGAAGCAAAUGCUACUACAUACAUGGACAGGAUCUAUGGUUGCUGUGCAAUUGGUAACGAUUGGGCUCGUGACUACUGAGCAUGCCUUAAUGUUGCUGUGAUGCUUAGAUUGCACCUGGAAAGAAUCGUUUUAUUGAGAGAGAUGUAAGCCGGAAGUUCGAAGAAAGUUGCAGCAUGUUUCCUCUCCCCUCAGAUAAGAGAGAACUAAAUCCGCAAUGAGAAGUUCUUGUAUUGUAUAUGUAUGAGAAUUCAGUGAUUAGCAUAAGAAACAGCAUGCAACAUAAAGAAUACUUUAAUCAUUUUGGUUCAAGGGAAUGUGUAGGUUUGCACAGUUCAAACAUGAAUUGCAGCUAUUGUAUGUUUCCUUACUAAUUACGGAUCGACCAUAAUUUCUUCGAAUUAGUUUGCAAUUUUUUUUUUCCCCAGAAUUUUCAUUUUGAGAGUAAUUGUGUCACUAAAUUUAUUUGGUCAAUGUACAACAGGAUUCAUAUGGUAUCUGUAAUAGGAUUUUUAUGUUCUUUUAUGGUGUAAUAGAAGUUUUUAAAAA